Molecule: long non-coding RNA, 1717 nt
Filed under: Homo sapiens (human)
Lineage: Eukaryota; Metazoa; Chordata; Mammalia; Primates; Hominidae
Description: HSALNT0319732
Source: RNAcentral
UGCCUGAGCUGGCAUCCUCUUCCUCCUGUCGGCGGGAGGUGUGGAUCACCUACUGCGUGCGGGGAACAAACGCCGCCCCAGUACCGGUCCCUGCAGCGGAGUAGCCUUCACCUGCAAGGUGAACGCCUGCUCACCACGUAAUCCCCAAACGCAGAUAUCACGUUGUCUCUGCAACUUUCCCUGACAACCACCCAAUGCAAUUAAUUAUCCCACAAUAGUAUCUCCCGCAGGCUCUCUGUAGAACCAUAGAAUUCAUCCAUCAAAAUACAAUCAUUUGUUGAUCCGUCUCUCUCUGCCGCCCCCAAAUGUGAAUUCCUUGAGUCAGAGACUAUUCUACUCAGCAAAACAUUUGUGAGUGGAAUUAAAUUGAAAUAAACCGUUAUAGUCCACUCACAGAUGGAAAACACAUAGUAAAAUCCUAGAAUUCCAUUUCUCCCCUGAAAAUUUCCCAGACAGUCAGAGGGAGUUUCAUUCUUUCCUGUUUACUUUUCUCCCAAAUAGGCCUUCUGAGGCAGCAGAAUAGGGAAGGAAGUCAGAAGACUGACCAGCUCAUACCUAUGGAAUGCCUAUCAUACAUACACUUAAAAUUAUGGCAAGCUCACGCAGGCGCACUAAGAGAGAAAAAACAAGAAAACAGAUAUGACAAUUAUAGGAAAUCCCCUCCCUAGAGUUAAAGAAGUGUAGGAAGUGGGUAUAAAAGAACAAAGGCUAUAUUAAUCCAGGGCUGACACCACUUGAAGAUAAGCCCGUUCCUCUCUCUGGUAUAUUCUUUGCUUAAUAAAUCUUGUGGGGUGGUUAUUUGUGUGUCUCAUCCAAUUCUUUGUUCAUAACACCAAGAACCUGGAACUCCCAACUUCCAAUCUGGUAACAUAUUUUGGUGAGCCAGCCAGGAGGGUCAAGCCUGCAAUACCUAAAGCUCCAGACCUGGAACCCAAAGCUCCCAUCAGUCGCUACCCUGUGAACCUGUGGAGGAUCUGAAGUACCUGUUUAAAAGGCAUCCAAAAGAUAGAAUCUAUCAAGCUACAAAUGGCUAUGUUGCCUGAAGCCCCAGACAUCAUCCUACAAGAAAUAAGUCCAGACUUCUUAAUUUCCCCCUGGAUAGAGCAGGCCACCACGCUGUAAGAAAGCACAAAGUCUUCAUAGAGAAACCAUCUGGAGGGACCUCAAGCUCCCAGCCAACAGCCAGUCCUGCAAGAGGAGUGUUCAGCUGAGUUCAGUCCCAACCUGAGUUGCAUCAACUGAGCUUUCAGACAUCAUGGAGCAAAGACAAAGCCAUCUCUGCUGGGCCUGAAUCCUAGGCCACAUAAUACACAAGCAAAACAAAAUGGCUGUUUUCCCCCCAUUGCAGUUUGGGGUGAUACUGUGGCCUGGGUGAAGACAUCGUAUCCUCUGUGUGUAACAGUGAUAAGAAGGCUUACCUCGCAGGGUUAUUACAAGACAAAUGAAAUAACUUUGGCACACUAUUAAAGGCUUCGUGGAUAAUUAAAGCUUCACAAAAACCUUGAUGAGAUUCCCUCUAUCCUCAGAAAAUGUAUGUGUGUGUGACGGUGUAGGGGUGGGGUGGGGGUUGGAUAGGAGGCAGCAAGAGAAAUGGAUUCCUUUCUCGUCCUUUUCUCAGAUCAAGGAUAUUGUACAAUUUCAUCCAUUCACCCUGGGUAUUUGAGUUUGAGUUCCCAAUCAUUGCCAAGAAACACACCAUUGAUUCAUUUAUUUUCAU